UACGGAAGGUCCGAGCGUUAUCCGGAUUUAUUGGGUUUAAAGGGUGCGUAGGCGGGAGAACAAGUCAGCCGUGAAAUCGCGUGGCUCAACCACGCCCAGCGGUUGAAACUGUUUUUCUUGAGUACGGUGAGGGAAGGCGGAAUUCGUGGUGUAGCGGUGAAAUGCAUAGAUAUCACGAAGAACUCCGAUCGCGUAGGCAGCUUUCCGUACCGGUUACUGACGCUGAGGCACGAAGGUGCGGGUAUCAAAC
This 250-nucleotide ribosomal RNA is filed under the name uncultured prokaryote. RNAcentral describes it as "partial 16S ribosomal RNA". It matches the Rfam family "Bacterial small subunit ribosomal RNA", at positions 524 to 773 of the family's 1533-position model. The record is from RNAcentral.